RNAcentral lists this ribosomal RNA (3060 nucleotides) under Nitrososphaerota archaeon. Its description in RNAcentral is "23S ribosomal RNA". It matches the Rfam family "Archaeal large subunit ribosomal RNA". The record is from RNAcentral. Lineage: Archaea; Thermoproteati; Nitrososphaerota.
AGUUCCUAAUGGAAGACGCCGUUUGGUGGAUGGCUUGGCUUAGGGGGCGAUGAAGGACGUGGCAAGCUGCGAUAAGCCUCGGGUAGGUGCAGGCAACCUUUGAUCCGAGGAUUUCCGAAUGGGACAUCCCAUUGAGAUAAAAUCUCAAUGAACUCGUAUUAAUGGCGAGUUCGCGAACCGUUCGAAAGGAAACAUCUGAGUAGGACGAGGAAGAGAAAUCAACACGAGAUGCCCUGAGUAGUGGCGAACAAAAGGGGCACAGCCCAAACCGAACCCUCCAUAGUAAUAUGGUGGGGAUGUAGUGUUCUGGUAGCGUUUAAUCACCAUCAUUAUAAGUUGAAGUAGCCUGGAAAGGCUUACCUUAGAGGGUGAAAGUCCCGUAGACGUAAACGUGGUGGUGAUUGCUGCUUGAAGAGUACCUGGCCUUGGCAGUGGCUAGGGAAGAUGGGGAAAAGCAGUCUCCAAGGCUAAAUACCUCCUAAGACCGAUAGCGAACCAGUACCGCGAGGGAAAGCUGAAAAGUACCCCGGAAGGGGGGUGAAAAGUGCCUGAAACCAAACGGUUAAAGACGAACAUUGCUUGAAAGGAGUAAAAGGGGGGCUUGAUCGUCCGCAAGGAUGGAUGAGCCCUCCGACAAGCACCAGGGUAAUGUGUUCCGUCUAGAAACACGGGCCAGGGAGUUUACUUUCAUGGCGAGUCUAAGGGUUGACGCCCGGAGGCGAAGGGAAACCGAAUUCUCGCAGCCCGCAAGGGUAAGGAGAAGGGUCGUAAAAGGCCUGAGCCAUGGGGGUAAGACUAGAAACCGAGCGAUCUUGACCUGGGCAGGGCGAAGCCUGGGGAAACCCAGGUAGAAGCCCGAACGGGUGGUGACGUGCAAUUCCCUCCGUAGACCUGGGACAAGGGGCCAAAAACUAAUCUAGCUCGGUGUUGGCUAGUUCCUGCCGAAGCGGAUCCUAGCCCGGCCUAGGUGGACGUGGUUAACGCGGUAGAGCACCGAUGAGAAGGAAAGGAUCCGAAAGGGUCCGCCUUUUUUUCGAACUCCGAAUGUGUUAACGCGGAAGAAGCCUGGAGGCGGGUUUAUGGGGGUAAGCCCCAUAACCGAGAGGGGAUUAACCCAGACCAGCGUUAAGGCCCCUAAAUAUUGGCUAAGUGUCAAGCUAAAAGGUGUCCUUUUGCAAAGACAGCAGGAAGGUAGGCUCAGAAGCGGCCAUCCUUUAAUGAGUGCGUAACAGCUCACCUGUCGAGCAGAGGGGCCCUGAAAAUGGACGGGGCUAAAGCCAAUUGCCGAUACGUUGGGUCAUGUCUUAAGGACAUGGGCGGUAGGCAGGCGUGGAGAUUGGGCAGAAGCAGGGUCGUGAGGUCCUGUGGACCGGUCUCCAGUGCAGAUCCUGGUGGUAGUAACAGCAUAGCUAGGUGAAAAUCCUAGUCACCGAAUGGCCAAGGUUUUCCUGGCAACGCGUCGUCAGCCAGGAGUUAGCCGAUCCUAAGCACUACCCUAACGGGGAUAUGCGAAGGGGAAACCGGUUAAUAUUCCGGUGCCUCUGGCUCAUCCUCCGCAAGGAGGCACUCACUUUUCAUCCUUGAGAUAGGGAGAACAGGGCCGUCGCCCUGUCUAACUUUCCAAGGUAGGGGGAGUGUCAUAAUGACGAGAACCCGUCCGAGGAAGGAAUGGCCGGCCGUUAGGCUGGUUUUCUCAAUUCUGAGGGACAAUGAAAGGAAGGGUGAGGAUGUGAGCUAGAGUUCGUACCAAGAACCGACACAGGUGGCCUGGGUGAGAAGCCUAAGGUGUAUCGGAAAUAACGUAGGCGAGGGAACUCGGCAAAUUAGCCAUGUAACUUAGGUACAAAUGGUGCCUGCAGCCUUAGUUUAAAGCUGGGGCGGCAGGUCGCAGUAACAAGGGGGUCCUGACUGUUUAAUAAAAACACAGGUGGCUGCUAGUCCGUAAGGAUACGUACAGCCGCUGAAUCCUGGCCAGUGGCGGUACCUAAAACCCGGGUUCAACCGGGCUAAGGGCCGCUUAACGCCGGGAGUAACUCUGACUCUCUUAAGGUAGCCAAAUGCCUUGUCGGGUGAGUUCCGACGUGCAUGAAUGGAUCAACAAGGGCCCCGCUGUCCCCGCCUGCAAUCCGGUGAACCCACGUAAGGUGGACGAACAGUCCAUCGUCUUCCAUCGGGGAGAGAAGACCCUGUGGAGCUUUACUGUAGCUUGUAGUUGUAAUACGGAUAUGAUCGCAGAGCGUAGUUGGGAGCCGCUGAAGUCGUGCCUCCGGGUGCGAUGAAGGCGAAAUUGUAACACCAGCCUAUUGUAUCUGUGUUACUUACCGAGGUGUGAGCCUUGGGACAACUGCAGGUGGGCAGUUCGGCUGGGGCGGCACCCCCUCGAAAAGAUAUCGAGGGGGCCCAAAGGUCGGCUCAGACGGGUCAGAAACCCGUUGUUGAGGGCAAGGCCAUAAGCCGGCCUGACUGAACCCCUAAACGCGUCGGGUUCAGAGGCGAAAGCCGGGCCUAGCGAACCAUCAUGUCCCCACUGUUGGGGGCUGGUGACGACAGAAAAGUUACCCCAGGGAUAACAGGCUCGUCGCGGGCGAGAGCUCUAAUCGACCCCGCGGUUUGGUACCUCGAUGUCGGCUCUUCCCAUCCUGGUCCUGCAGCAGAGGCCAAGGGUGAGGCUGCUCGCCUAUUAAAGGGGAACGUGAGCUGGGUUUAGACCGUCGCGAGACAGGUCGGACUCUACCUGAUGGAAGUGUGCGCUGGCUGAAAGGAACUUGCCCCUAGUACGAGAGGAACAGGGCAAGGCAGCCUCUGGUAUACCGAUCCUCCGACAGGGGGACGCCGGGUAGCUAAGCUGUUGAGGAUAACCCCUGAAAGCAUCUAAGGGGGAAGCCUUUCUUAAAAAGAGCCAGCGUUCCUUUAUGUAUUUCAAUUCGCAAGGAUUGGAACGCAUUAAGGAGUAGGGCUGCCAUAGAAGAUGGCGUUGAUAGGACGGAGGUGUACGCAGGAAGGCCCGUAAGGGCCGACUUGUUCAGCCUACCGUUACUAAUCGCCCAAAUGUUAGGUUCG